UACGAAGGGGGCUAGCGUUGUUCGGAAUUACUGGGCGUAAAGCGUGCGCAGGCGGCUGCUCAAGUCAGGGGUGAAAGCCCAGAGCUCAACUCUGGAAUUGCCUUUGAGACUGAGUGGCUUGAGUACGGGAGAGGUGAGUGGAAUUCCCAGUGUAGAGGCGAAAUUCGUAGAUAUUGGGAAGAACACCGGUGGCGAAGGCGGCUCACUGGCCCGUAACUGACGCUCAUGCACGACAGCGUGGGGAUCAAACAGG
RNAcentral lists this ribosomal RNA (253 nucleotides) under uncultured bacterium. Its description in RNAcentral is "partial 16S ribosomal RNA". It matches the Rfam family "Bacterial small subunit ribosomal RNA", at positions 524 to 776 of the family's 1533-position model. The record is from RNAcentral.